GAAAGGUGAAAAGAACCGUGAAUAACGGAGUGAAAUAGACCCUGAAACCAUACGCUUACAAGCGGUCGGAGCAGCAUUAGCUGUGACGGCGUGCCUUUUGCAUAAUGAGCCUACGAGUUACUGUUACCAGCGAGGAUAAGUAUUUCAGAUACGAAUCCGUAGCGAAAGCGAGUCUGAAUAGGGCGGCAAUAGUUGGUAGUAGUAGACGCGAAACCUGGUGAUCUACCCUUGGGCAGGUUGAAGCGCUGGUAACACAGCGUGGAGGACCGAACUGGUUGUCGUUGAAAAGACUUCGGAUGACCUGAGGGUAGGGGUGAAAGGCCAAUCAAACUGGGAAAUAGCUCGUACUCCCCGAAAUGCAUUUAGGUGCAGCGUUGAUGUGAGUUUAAUAGAGGUAGAGCUACUGAUUGGAUGCGGGGGUUUCAUCGCCUACCAAUUCCUGACAAACUCCGAAUGCUAUUAAAUGCUCAUCAGCAGUGAGGGUAUGGGUGCUAAGGUCCAUAUCCGAGAGGGAAAGAACCCGGACCAUCAGCUAAGGUCCCCAAAUAUAUGCUAAGUUGACCAAACGCGGUCUGACUGCACUGACAGCUAGGAUGUUGGCUUGGAAGCAGCCAUACAUUUAAAGAGUGCGUAACAGCUCACUAGUCGAGCGGUUGGGCAUGGAUAAUAAACGGGCAUAAGCAUAUUACCGAAGCUAUGGGGUUAUUACAUAAGUAAUAUACCGGUAGGGGAGCAUUCUAUAGGCGUAGAAGCUAAAGGCGUGAGCCAUAGUGGAGCUGAUAGAAAAGAAAAUGUAGGCAUAAGUAACGAUAAGGCAGGCGAGAAACCUGCCCGCCGAAAGAUCAAGGUUUCCUCAGCUAUGCUAAUCAGCUGAGGGUUAGUCGGGGACUAACGCGAACCCGAGUAGGGGUAGUGGAUGUACAACGGGUUAAUAUUCCCGUACCAUUAAUCUAAUAAAAGUGACGGAAUGAGAUAGCUACCGCGUACAGACGGAAUAGUACGUUUAAGGAGUUGUUAUGACUUCAAAAGUACACCGAGGCUUCGGCUGAAGUGAGAGUGGCGACAACGUUUCCAAGAAAAGCGAAGAUUAAUGCCCGUACCGUAAACCGACACAGGUGAUUGGGAUGAGAAUUCUAAGGCGCUCGAGAGAUUCAUGGCUAAGGAACUAGGCAAAAUAGACCUGUAACUUCGGGAGAAAGGUCGCCUAUCUAGCGAUAGGCCGCAGUGAAAAGGUCCAAGCGACUGUUUAUCAAAAACACAGGACUCUGCAAAAUCGAAAGAUGAGGUAUAGGGUCUGACACCUGCCCGGUGCUGGAAGGUUAAGAGGAGAGCUUAGCGUAAGCGAAGGUUUGAAUUGAAGCCCCAGUAAACGGCGGCCGUAACUAUAACGGUCCUAAGGUAGCGAAAUUCCUUGUCGGGUAAGUUCCGACCUGCACGAAUGGUGUAACGAUUUGGACACUGUCUCGGCCAUGAGCUCGGUGAAAUUGUAGUAUCGGUGAAGAUGCCGAUUACCCGCAGUGGGACGAAAAGACCCUGUGCACCUUUACUAUAUCUUCGUAUUGGUCUUGGAUAAGUGAUGCGUAGGAUAGGUGGGAGACUAAGAAGCGGCUAUUCCGGUAGUUGUGGAGUCAUUGUUGAAAUACCACCCUUUGCUUAUCUGAGGUCUAACUUUGCACAAGGCAAAGGACAAUUCGUGGAGGGUAGUUUGACUGGGGUGGUCGCCUCCAAAAGCGUAACGGAGGCUUCUAAAGGU
RNAcentral lists this ribosomal RNA (1753 nucleotides) under human metagenome. Its description in RNAcentral is "bacterial LSU rRNA". It matches the Rfam family "Bacterial large subunit ribosomal RNA", at positions 509 to 2317 of the family's 2925-position model. The record is from RNAcentral.